RNAcentral lists this ribosomal RNA (1359 nucleotides) under uncultured fungus. RNAcentral describes it as "eukaryotic LSU rRNA". The stretch from base 699 to 1359 matches the Rfam family "Eukaryotic large subunit ribosomal RNA", at positions 1 to 667 of the family's 3401-position model. Lineage: Eukaryota; Fungi. The record is from RNAcentral.
CUUGGUCAUUUAGAGGAAGUAAAAGUCGUAACAAGGUUUCCGUAGGUGAACCUGCGGAAGGAUCAUUAACGAAUUGUAAUGGGGGUUGAUGCUGGCAAGCUAUCAUUUUAGCCGCAUGUUGCUCACCUUCAACAAUCAUUAUCCCAAACACCUGUGCACCUUUUGAGGGGUAGUUUCUAAGUAGAUUUUGCUGCCUGUUGGUAGUGGGAUUAUCUUGGAUCCUUUCCCUUCUUUCACACAUACACUAUUUACAAUAUUGAACGUGAUUGUGCCGUAAGGCCUUAAUAAAAAUACAACUUUUAACAACGGAUCUCUUGGCUCUCGCAUCGAUGAAGAACGCAGCGAAAUGCGAUAAGUAAUGUGAAUUGCAGAAUUCAGUGAAUCAUCGAAUCUUUGAACGCACCUUGCGCUCCUUGGUAUUCCGAGGAGCACGCCUGUUCGAGUGUCGUGAAGUUCUCAAGCUAGGUGCUUUUUUGCUUGACAAAAAUGCGGUUAGCUUGGUAUUGGGCUUUGCCGUGUCCUUCAUUUGGAACGGCUGGUCUUAAAGACAUUAGCUUGACCCUUCACGUGGUAUUGGUUCUACUCAGCGUGAUAAUAAUCUAACCGCUGAGGACAUCUUUUGGGGUGGCCAAUUCUUGUUGGGGUUGCUUUCUAAUCUGGUUUGCAAGAUUCUUGAAUCCUGCUCCAUUUUUCAAUUUUGACCUCGAAUCAGGUGGGACUACCAGCUGAACUUAAGCAUAUCAAUAAGCGGAGGAAAAGAAACUAACAAGGAUUCCCCUAGUAACGGCGAGUGAAGCGGGAAGAGCUCAAAUUUAAAAUCUGGCAGUCUUUGAUUGUCCGAAUUGUAAUCUAGAGAAGCGUUUUCCGCGCUGGACUGUGUACAAGUUUCCUGGAUACGGAACAUCAUAGAGGGUGAGAAUCCCGUCCUUGACACAGACUCCCAGUGCUUUGUGAUGCGCUCUCGACGAGUCGAGUUGUUUGGGAUUGCAGCUCAAAAUGGGAGGUAAAUUCCUUCUAAAGCUAAAUAUUGGCGAGAGACCGAUAGCGAACAAGUACCGUGAGGGAAAGAUGAAAAGCAGUUUGGAAAGAGAGUUAAACAGUACGUGAAAUUGUUAAAAGGGAAACGCUUGAAGUCAGUCAUGUCUGCUUGGACUCAACCUAACUUUGGUGUGGUUCAUUUCCUUGCAGACGGGCCAGUGUUCAUGUUGUUCGUCGGAAAAGGAGUAAAAGAAUGUGACUCCUCCGGGAGUGUUAUAGCUUUGACUCGUAUGCGGGGAACGAUAUGGAGUGGUACAGCAUGCUUCGGUGGUGCUUGUGCUGGCAUAAUGGCUUUAAACGACCCGUCUUGAAACACGGACC